RNAcentral lists this ribosomal RNA (484 nucleotides) under uncultured bacterium. RNAcentral describes it as "partial 16S ribosomal RNA". It matches the Rfam family "Bacterial small subunit ribosomal RNA", at positions 30 to 507 of the family's 1533-position model. The record is from RNAcentral.
AUUGAACGCUGGCGGCAUGCCUAACACAUGCAAGUCGAGCGGAUGAAGGGGGCUUGCUCCUGGAUUCAGGGGCGGCCGGUUGGGUAAUGCCUAGGAAUCUGCCUUAUCGUGGGGGAUAAGGUCCGGAAACGGGAUCUAAUCCCGCAUACGUCGAUAGGUAGAAAUUGGGGGAGCUUGCGUCCUAUCGCUUUCUGCUGAGCCUAGUUCGGUUUAGCUAGUUGGUGGGGUAACGGCCUACAAAGGCGACGAUCCGUAACUGGUCUGAGAGGAUGAUCAGUCACACUGGAACUGAGACACGGUCCAGACUCCUACGGGAGGCAGCAGUGGGGAAUAUUGGGCAAUGGGCGAAAGCCUGAUCCAGCAAUGCCGCGUGUGUGAAGAAGGUCUUCGGAUUGUAAAGCACUGUAAGUUGGGAGGAAGGGAAGUAAGUUUAUACGUUGCUAUAUUGACGGUACCAACAGAAUAAGCACCGGCUAACUUCGUG